UAAGGAUAACUUCGGAAAAGCUGUAGCUAAUACUUGCUUUAUUAUCCUUUGAUUUUUAUCUUUGGAUAAGUAUUUGUUAGGCCUUAUAAGAAAAAAGUUAUUAACUUAAGGAAUUAUAACAAAGAAGUAACACGUAAUAAAUUUAUUUUAUUUAGUGUGUAUCAAUCGAGUUUCUGACCUAUCAGCUUUUGAUGUUAGGGUAUUGGCCUAACAUGGCUAUGACGGGUAAA
This 230-nucleotide ribosomal RNA is filed under the name Plasmodium sp. Its description in RNAcentral is "partial 18S ribosomal RNA". It matches the Rfam family "Eukaryotic small subunit ribosomal RNA", at positions 138 to 363 of the family's 1831-position model. Lineage: Eukaryota; Apicomplexa; Aconoidasida; Haemosporida; Plasmodiidae. The record is from RNAcentral.